GUACAUAAAAGAAAGAAAACAGAAAAGGAAAGAGAGAGAACCUUGGCUUCAAGUUCUUCCAACUUUGACCGGUGACGAAGGGAACGAAGAGGAAUACUAUGUCCCUUAACAUUACUUAAAUUUUUUAUCAUUCACGAGGGAAUAUGUUUUCUUUUUCAUUCCUCUUCAUUUAUUUAUUUGUAGAAAAUUAUAUAACAAAUCAAUUCCUCAUUAAUUUUAAUAAGGAACCAUCAUUCUUCAUCAUUCCUAAAAUUUUAUUCUUACUCAUUUUUUUCAUAUCCGUUCCUAUUGUUUCCAUGAUGAUUACCAGUGUCACCUUCUACUUUUUAAAAUGACUUUAUCUAUGUAUAUGAUAUUAUUUUGUUCCUUCUUUGUGCAUUUUUUAUAAAGAUUCAUAAAAUUUAAAGGAAAUCGUGUCUAUUAAAUUCAAUCGUAUUCCUUUAAAAUCUAAAACAAAUCUUUUUGAGAAAUGCAUUAUAAUCCUCAACAAAUCAUUUAAAAUACUCAAAAAUCUAUUAUUUAUGUCUUCAUUUGAUUUUUUUUAAAAUUAGUUAAAUUCUUGAAUCUAAUACCAUCUCCAGAUACAUAGCCCAAAGAAUUAUUAUAAUAACUAAAGAAAAAUUAUUUCUAAUACGGCUCUAGUUCACCUUUAACAGUCUCUCAUUCUCUCAUACUAAUGCUAUGUUUCUCUUUCAUUGCUUUGUUUCGUCUCUUUUCUACGCUCUAUGUUCGCAGCCGAGAUAUUUUUCGGAGUCAAUAUAUGGAUCGUUGAUGUAGACUUGGCCCUUCUUGCUCUGCAAAAUGAUGAUGAAGACUUGGCCUUUUAGUAGAAUAGGAUGAAGAAAAUAAACUUAAGAGCUAUAUGGUUUUGAAUGCUUUGAGAGCAUUCUAUUUUAGAGUAAAAUAUAGGGAAAAAAAUUAUAGAUUACCAGUUGAGAUGGUUUGAUUAGGUCGUAACUUUUAUUGUCAACAAUUUGAAUUUCUUAAAAAUGAGAAAUUAAUAAUUUUAUUAUAAUAAAUUAAUUGGCUAUUAAGAAAGAGCCACGUGGUAAAAGAAUGUAUAAUAAACAGAGAAAAGAACCGGUUCUUGUGUUCGUUCA
Brassica napus (rape) is the source of this 1100-nucleotide long non-coding RNA. RefSeq lists it as uncharacterized. NCBI's taxonomy places the organism in Eukaryota, Viridiplantae, Streptophyta, Magnoliopsida, Brassicales, Brassicaceae. The transcript has 2 exons. The record is from RefSeq and is a predicted model, not a curated record.